Molecule: ribosomal RNA, 484 nt
Filed under: uncultured Bacteroidota bacterium
Lineage: Bacteria; Pseudomonadati; Bacteroidota
Description: bacterial SSU rRNA
Rfam family: Bacterial small subunit ribosomal RNA
Source: RNAcentral
GAUGAACGCUAGCGGGAGGCUUAACACAUGCAAGUCGAGGGGAAACAAAAGUAGCUUGCUACUAGAUGUCGACCGGCGCACGGGUGCGUAACGCGUAUACAAUCUGCCUUAUACUGGAGAAUAGCCCAGAGAAAUUUGGAUUAAUGCUCCAUAGUCUUUCUCUCUCGCAUGGGAGAGUUUGUAAAGCUUCGGCGGUAUAAGAUGAGUAUGCGUUCUAUUAGCUAGUUGGUGAGGUAACUGCUCACCAAGGCUACGAUAGAUAGGGGUUCUGAGAGGAUGAUCCCCCACACUGGUACUGAGACACGGACCAGACUCCUACGGGAGGCAGCAGUGAGGAAUAUUGGUCAAUGGACGAAAGUCUGAACCAGCCAUCCCGCGUGAAGGAUGACGGCGCUAUGCGUUGUAAACUUCUUUUAUAUACCAAGAAAAGUAGUCACGUGUGAUUAUCUGACGGUAGUAUAUGAAUAAGGACCGGCUAACUCCG